CUAAUCAAUGGGGAUUUCAACCUCAUCUACGAGGUGUGCGACAAAAACAACCUUAAUCUCAACCGUAGGCUCAUGGGUAGAUUCCGGUCGGCCAUCAACGCGGCUGGUCUGAAAGAGAUCAAUUGUAAAAAUCAUCGCUACACCUGGAGCAGUGAGCGUCAAGAUCCCACCCUCGUCAGCAUAGACAAGUUUUUCUACAACCAAGCUUGGAAUCCCUGUUCCCCAGCUUUGCAUUGA
RNAcentral lists this ribosomal RNA (237 nucleotides) under Triticum aestivum (bread wheat). RNAcentral describes it as "partial small subunit ribosomal RNA". Lineage: Eukaryota; Viridiplantae; Streptophyta; Magnoliopsida; Poales; Poaceae. The record is from RNAcentral.